UACGGGGGGGGCAAGCGUUGUUCGGAAUCAUUGGGCGUAAAGGGCGCGUAGGCGGUGCCGUAAGUCUGGUGUGAAAUCCCCGAGCUUAACUCGGGUCCCGCGCCAGAGACUGCGGUGCUCGAGUGUGGGAGAGGAGAGUGGAAUUCCCGGUGUAGCGGUGAAAUGCGUAGAUAUUAGGAAGAACACCAGUGGCGAAGGCGGCUCACUGGCCCGGUACUGACGCUGAGGCGCGAAAGCGUGGGGAGCAAACAGG
Molecule: ribosomal RNA, 253 nt
Filed under: uncultured bacterium
Lineage: Bacteria
Description: partial 16S ribosomal RNA
Rfam family: Bacterial small subunit ribosomal RNA
Source: RNAcentral